RNAcentral lists this ribosomal RNA (380 nucleotides) under uncultured eukaryote. Its description in RNAcentral is "partial 18S ribosomal RNA". It matches the Rfam family "Eukaryotic small subunit ribosomal RNA", at positions 592 to 976 of the family's 1831-position model. The record is from RNAcentral.
CAAUAGCGUAUAUUAAAGUUGUUGCAGUUAAAAAGCUCGUAGUUGGAUUUCUGCUGAGGACGAUCGGUCCGCCCACUGGGUGAGUAUCUGGCUCGGCCUUGGCAUCUUCUUGGAGAACGUUGCUGCACUUGACUGUGUGGCGCGGUAUCCAGGACUUUUACUUUGAGGAAAUUAGAGUGUUUCAAGCAGGCGCACGCCUUGAAUACAUUAGCAUGGAAUAAUGAGAUAGGACCUUGGUUCUAUUUUGUUGGUUUCUAGAGCUGAGGUAAUGAUUAAUAGGGAUAGUUGGGGGCAUUCGUAUUUAACUGUCAGAGGUGAAAUUCUUGGAUUUGUUAAAGGCGGACUACUGCGAAAGCAUUUGCCAAGGAUGUUUUCAUUGA